Molecule: ribosomal RNA, 468 nt
Filed under: uncultured bacterium
Lineage: Bacteria
Description: partial 16S ribosomal RNA
Rfam family: Bacterial small subunit ribosomal RNA
Source: RNAcentral
GACGAACGCUGGCGGCGUGCCUAACACAUGCAAGUCGAACGGAAAGGCCCUGCUUUUGUGGGGUGCUCGAGUGGCGAACGGGUGAGUAACACGUGAGUAACCUGCCCUUGACUUUGGGAUAACGUCAGGAAACUGGGGCUAAUACCGGAUAGGAGCUCCUGCUGCAUGGUGGGGGUUGGAAAGUUUCGGCGGUUGGGGAUGGACUCGCGGGUUAUCAGCUUGUUGGUGGGGUAGUGGCUUACCAAGGCUUUGACGGGUAGCCGGCCUGAGAGGGUGACCGGCCCCAAUGGGACUGAGGUACGGCCCAGAGUCCUACGGGGGGCAGCAGUGGGGAAUAUUGCACAAUAAGCGGGAGCCUGUUGCGGCAGCGCCGCGUGCGGGAUGACGGCCUUCGGGUUGUAAACCGCUUUCGCCUGUGACGGAGCGUGAGUGACGGUAAUGGGUAAAGAAGCACCGGCUAACUACGUG